This is a non-coding RNA of Danio aesculapii, 77 nucleotides long. Lineage: Eukaryota; Metazoa; Chordata; Actinopteri; Cypriniformes; Danionidae. The record is from the annotation of a RefSeq genome assembly.
GUCAGAAUGGCCGAGUGGUCUAAGGCGCUAGACUCAAGCUCUAGAUAGUGGUGUGGGUUCAAAUCCUACUUCUGACA